RNAcentral lists this long non-coding RNA (315 nucleotides) under Gossypium raimondii (Peruvian cotton). RNAcentral describes it as "long non-coding RNA (GRAI_LNC004197)". The record is from RNAcentral. Lineage: Eukaryota; Viridiplantae; Streptophyta; Magnoliopsida; Malvales; Malvaceae.
UUAUAUAUGUGAUGUCCAUAUUUUUCAACAUAAUAACCAUUAAAUACAUAAACUAAAAUGACAUGACUUUUUUUAGUAUUAUGUAAAUGUAAUAGGCCAAUUUUGGCCUGGGCCCAAAUUACCAAAAUAAAACAAAAACCCAAACCAAAGAAUAAAUAAAUAAGUUUAAAAACCAAGUCCAUUUACAACAAAACCCUAGCCCAAUUCUAACCCAGCCCAAAUCAGCCCAACACCUAAACUAAACAAAAAAAACCCUAUCCCCCUAAGCCUUUAAUCGCCGCUCCUCCCACGCGCGCCGCACAGCCUCCUCGCACG